CUCUCAGUGCUGUGGACACAGAGCCGCCACGCAUGCCACCCCUCAGCCCAUCCAGAAGAACACAGCACAUGCUGCCACUUGCAGGCUGGCUACACAAACCACACAAGACUGACCCCUCCAUCAGAGACAUGCCAAUCCAACCACUCCUAAAAAACAUACAAAGCCACAUGGAUUCCUCCAAGUCAUUACAACAGAGGCCAGCUUGCUACCUGACUGAUGCCCAGUGUUACCGGGGUGACCAUCCACACUCAUCACAGGGACUGAGGAGAAACUCAGGCAUUGAACAUCGGAAUGGACUUCAAAAUGGCAUCCUCCCAGGCGUUAGGCACCUCCUACCACAGGCCCACUACCGGAGGUCUCGCUCCAAUACUACACUGGA
Long non-coding RNA from Salvelinus fontinalis (brook trout), 379 nucleotides. RefSeq lists it as uncharacterized. Lineage: Eukaryota; Metazoa; Chordata; Actinopteri; Salmoniformes; Salmonidae. The transcript is spliced from 3 exons. The record is from RefSeq and is a predicted model, not a curated record.